This 431-nucleotide ribosomal RNA is filed under the name uncultured bacterium. RNAcentral's name for it is "partial 16S ribosomal RNA". It matches the Rfam family "Bacterial small subunit ribosomal RNA", at positions 29 to 507 of the family's 1533-position model. The record is from RNAcentral.
AACGAACGCUGGCGGCAGGCCUAACACAUGCAAGUCGAGCGCCCUUUCGGGGGAGCGGCGGACGGGUGAGUAACGCGUGGGAAUAUGCCCUUCUCUACGGAAUAGCCUCGGGAAACUGAGAGUAAUACCGUAUACGCCCUAUGGGGGAAAGAUUUAUCGGGGAAGGAUUAGCCCGCGUUGGAUUAGGUAGUUGGUGGGGUAAUGGCCUACCAAGCCGACGACCCAUAGCUGGUUUGAGAGGAUGAUCAGCCACACUGGGACUGAGACACGGCCCAGACUCCUACGGGAGGCAGCAGUGGGGAAUCUUAGACAAUGGGGGCAACCCUGAUCUAGCCAUGCCGCGUGAGUGAUGAAGGCCUUAGGGUUGUAAAGCUCUUUCAGCUGGGAAGAUAAUGACGGUACCAGCAGAAGAAGCCCCGGCUAACUCCGUG